GUUUGCACUUGUCGGGGAAGGGUGAGAACCUUCGAUUAAGGUUCGACUCGAGCGAAAGCGAGAGAACGUUGCCAAC
Molecule: small RNA, 76 nt
Filed under: Salmonella enterica
Lineage: Bacteria; Pseudomonadati; Pseudomonadota; Gammaproteobacteria; Enterobacterales; Enterobacteriaceae
Also listed under: 5 other names
Description: partial RtT sRNA
Rfam family: RtT RNA
About the family: This family represents a bacterial cis-regulatory element known as RtT RNA.
Source: RNAcentral